This 148-nucleotide non-coding RNA is filed under the name Nomascus leucogenys (northern white-cheeked gibbon). Lineage: Eukaryota; Metazoa; Chordata; Mammalia; Primates; Hylobatidae. The record is from Rfam by way of RNAcentral.
GCCGGGCGUGGUGGUGGGUGCCUGUAAUCCCAGCUACCUGGGAGGCUGAGGCAGGAGAAUCGCUUGAACCCAGGAGGUGGAGCUUGCAGUGAGACGAGAUCACACCACUGCACUCCAGCCUGGGCGACAGAGUGAGACUCUGUCUCAA